This 1217-nucleotide ribosomal RNA is filed under the name Bacillus sp. (in: firmicutes). RNAcentral describes it as "bacterial SSU rRNA". It matches the Rfam family "Bacterial small subunit ribosomal RNA", at positions 40 to 1157 of the family's 1533-position model. The record is from RNAcentral. Lineage: Bacteria; Bacillati; Bacillota; Bacilli; Caryophanales; Bacillaceae.
CGGCGGGGCCUAAUCAUGGCAAGUCGAGCGGACAGAUGGGAGCGGCCCUGAUGUCAGCGGCGGAGGGGGGGCCGUGGGUAACCUGCCUGUAAGACUGGGAUAAUGGGGAGGCCGGGGCUAAUACCGGAUGCUUGAUUGAACCGCAUGGUUCAAUUAUAAAAGGUGGCUUUUAGCUACCACUUUCAAAGGGACCCGCGGCGCAUUAGCUAGUGGGGGAGGUAACGGCUCACCUGGGCAACAAUGCGUAGCCAACCUGAGAGGGUGAUCGGCCACACGGGGACUGAAACACGGCCCAAACUCCUACGGGAGGCAGCAGUAGGGAAUCUUCCGCAAUGGAUUAAAGUCUGACGGACCACCGCCGCGGGAGUGAUGAAGGUUUUCGAAUCGAAAAACUCUGUUGUUAGGGAAGAACAAUUACCGUCUAAUAGGGGGGUACCUUGACGGUUCUUAACCAGAAAGCCACGGCUAACUACGUGCCACCAGCCGCGGUAAUACGUAGGUGGCAAGCGUUGUCCGGAAUUAUUGGGCGUAAAGCGCGCGCAGGUGGUUUCUUAAGUCUGAUGUGAAACCCCCCGGCUCAACCGGGGAGGGUCAUUGAAAACUGGGAAACUUGAGGGAAAAAAAGGAGAGUGGAAUUCCACGUGUAGCGGUGAAAUGCGUAAAGAUGUGAAGGAACACCAGUGGCAAAGGCGACUCUCUGGUCUGUAACUGACGCUGAGGCGCGAAAGCGUGGGGAGCAAACAGGAUUAAAUACCCUGGUAGUCCACGCCGUAAACGAUGAGUGCUAAGUGUUAGAGGGUUCCCCCCCUUUAGGGCUGCAGCAAACGCAUAACGCACUCCGCCUGGGGAGUACGGUCGAAAGACUGAAACUCAAAGAAUUGACGGGGGCCCGCACAAGCGGGGAAGCAUUGUGUUUUAAUUCAGAACCACCGAGAAAAACCUAACAAGGUCUUGACAUCCUCUGAAAACCAUAAGAGAUGGUCUUCCCCUUCGGGGGCAGAAGUGACAGGUGUGGCAGGGUCGUCUUCAGCUCAUGUGCCGAGAAUGUUGGUUAAGUCCCCGCAUCCGAAGCGCAAUCCUUGAAUCUUAGUUUGCAAGCAUUUCAGUUGGGGGACACUCUUUAAGGGGGAACUGGGCCGGGUGAACAAACCGGGGAGGGAUAGGGUUGGGGAAAGGUACACUCCUCAAAAAUUACUAUUCUCAUGUGUUCCCCCCCU